This 465-nucleotide ribosomal RNA is filed under the name uncultured Klebsiella sp. RNAcentral describes it as "bacterial SSU rRNA". It matches the Rfam family "Bacterial small subunit ribosomal RNA", at positions 338 to 795 of the family's 1533-position model. The record is from RNAcentral. Lineage: Bacteria; Pseudomonadati; Pseudomonadota; Gammaproteobacteria; Enterobacterales; Enterobacteriaceae.
CCUACGGGCGGCUGCAGUGGGGAAUAUUGCACAAUGGGCGCAAGCCUGAUGCAGCCAUGCCGCGUGUGUGAAGAAGGCCUUCGGGUUGUAAAGCACUUUCAGCGGGGAGGAAGGCGGUGAGGUUAAUAACCUCAUCGAUUGACGUUACCCGCAGAAGAAGCACCGGCUAACUCCGUGCCAGCAGCCGCGGUAAUACGGAGGGUGCAAGCGUUAAUCGGAAUUACUGGGCGUAAAGCGCACGCAGGCGGUCUGUCAAGUCGGAUGUGAAAUCCCCGGGCUCAACCUGGGAACUGCAUUCGAAACUGGCAGGCUAGAGUCUUGUAGAGGGGGGUGGAAUUCCAGGUGUAGCGGUGAAAUGCGUAGAGAUCUGGAGGAAUACCGGUGGCGAAGGCGGCCCCCUGGACAAAGACUGACGCUCAGGUGCGAAAGCGUGGGGAGCAAACAGGAUUAGAUACCCGGGUAGUC